UACGUAGGGUGCGAGCGUUGUCCGUCAUUAUUGGGCGUAAAGGUCUCGUCGGCGGUUUGUCGCGUCGGGAGUGAAAACCUCGGGCUUAACUCGGGGCUUGCUUUCGAUACGGCAGACUGGAGGUAUGCAGGGGAGAACGGAAUUCCUGGUGUAGCGGUGAAAUGCGCAGAUAUCAGGAAGAACACCGGUGGCGAAGGCGGCCUGCUGGGCAGUUUAGCUGACACUGAGGCGCGACAGCGUGGGGAGCAAACAGG
Molecule: ribosomal RNA, 254 nt
Filed under: uncultured bacterium
Lineage: Bacteria
Description: partial 16S ribosomal RNA
Rfam family: Bacterial small subunit ribosomal RNA
Source: RNAcentral